Molecule: ribosomal RNA, 441 nt
Filed under: uncultured bacterium
Lineage: Bacteria
Description: partial 16S ribosomal RNA
Rfam family: Bacterial small subunit ribosomal RNA
Source: RNAcentral
CUACGGGGGGCUGCAGUGGGGAAUAUUGGGCAAUGGGCGCAAGCCUGACCCAGCAACGCCGCGUGAGGGAAGAAUGUCUUCGGAUUGUAAACCUCUGUCCUUGGGGACGAAAAAAAUGACGGUACCCAAGGAGGAAGCUCCGGCUAACUACGUGCCAGCAGCCGCGGUAAUACGUAGGGAGCAAGCGUUGUCCGGAAUUAUUGGGCGUAAAGGGUGCGUAGGCGGCGCUGUAAGUCAGAUGUGAAAUCCCCGGGCUUAACUCGGGAGUUGCAUUUGAAACUACAGUGCUUGAGUAAAAAGGGGUAAGUGGAAUUCCUAGUGUAGCGGUGGAAUGCGUAGAUAUUAGGAGGAACACCAGUGGCGAAGGCGACUUACUGGUCUUUUACUGACGCUGAGGCACGAAAGCGUGGGGAGCAAACAGGAUUAGAUACCCUCGUAGUC